This 2922-nucleotide ribosomal RNA is filed under the name Salmonella enterica subsp. enterica serovar Fresno str. ST224. Its description in RNAcentral is "bacterial LSU rRNA". It matches the Rfam family "Bacterial large subunit ribosomal RNA". The record is from RNAcentral. Lineage: Bacteria; Pseudomonadati; Pseudomonadota; Gammaproteobacteria; Enterobacterales; Enterobacteriaceae.
GGGUUGUGAGGUUAAGCGACUAAGCGUACACGGUGGAUGCCCUGGCAGUCAGAGGCGAUGAAGGGCGUGCUAAUCUGCGAUAAGCGCCGGUAAGGUGAUAUGAACCGUUAUAACCGGCGAUACCCGAAUGGGGAAACCCAGUGUGACUCGUCACACUAUCAUUAACUGAAUCCAUAGGUUAAUGAGGCGAACCGGGGGAACUGAAACAUCUAAGUACCCCGAGGAAAAGAAAUCAACCGAGAUUCCCCCAGUAGCGGCGAGCGAACGGGGAGGAGCCCAGAGCCUGAAUCAGCAUGUGUGUUAGUGGAAGCGUCUGGAAAGGCGCGCGAUACAGGGUGACAGCCCCGUACACAAAAGCGCAUGUGCUGUGAGCUCGAUGAGUAGGGCGGGACACGUGGUAUCCUGUCUGAAUAUGGGGGGACCAUCCUCCAAGGCUAAAUACUCCUGACUGACCGAUAGUGAACCAGUACCGUGAGGGAAAGGCGAAAAGAACCCCGGCGAGGGGAGUGAAAAAGAACCUGAAACCGUGUACGUACAAGCAGUGGGAGCACCUUCGGGUGUGACUGCGUACCUUUUGUAUAAUGGGUCAGCGACUUAUAUUCUGUAGCAAGGUUAACCGUAUAGGGGAGCCGGAGGGAAACCGAGUCUUAACCGGGCGUUAAGUUGCAGGGUAUAGACCCGAAACCCGGUGAUCUAGCCAUGGGCAGGUUGAAGGUUGGGUAACACUAACUGGAGGACCGAACCGACUAAUGUUGAAAAAUUAGCGGAUGACCUGUGGCUGGGGGUGAAAGGCCAAUCAAACCGGGAGAUAGCUGGUUCUCCCCGAAAGCUAUUUAGGUAGCGCCUCGUGAAUUCAUCUCCGGGGGUAGAGCACUGUUUCGGCUAGGGGGCCAUCCCGGCUUACCAACCCGAUGCAAACUGCGAAUACCGGAGAAUGUUAUCACGGGAGACACACGGCGGGUGCUAACGUCCGUCGUGAAGAGGGAAACAACCCAGACCGCCAGCUAAGGUCCCAAAGUCAUGGUUAAGUGGGAAACGAUGUGGGAAGGCCCAGACAGCCAGGAUGUUGGCUUAGAAGCAGCCAUCAUUUAAAGAAAGCGUAAUAGCUCACUGGUCGAGUCGGCCUGCGCGGAAGAUGUAACGGGGCUAAACCAUGCACCGAAGCUGCGGCAGCGACACUAUGUGUUGUUGGGUAGGGGAGCGUUCUGUAAGCCUGUGAAGGUGGCCUGUGAGGGUUGCUGGAGGUAUCAGAAGUGCGAAUGCUGACAUAAGUAACGAUAAAGCGGGUGAAAAGCCCGCUCGCCGGAAGACCAAGGGUUCCUGUCCAACGUUAAUCGGGGCAGGGUGAGUCGACCCCUAAGGCGAGGCCGAAAGGCGUAGUCGAUGGGAAACGGGUUAAUAUUCCCGUACUUGGUGUUACUGCGAAGGGGGGACGGAGAAGGCUAUGUUGGCCGGGCGACGGUUGUCCCGGUUUAAGCGUGUAGGCUGGUUUUCCAGGCAAAUCCGGAAAAUCAAGGCUGAGGCGUGAUGACGAGGCACUACGGUGCUGAAGCAACAAAUGCCCUGCUUCCAGGAAAAGCCUCUAAGCAUCAGGUAACAUCAAAUCGUACCCCAAACCGACACAGGUGGUCAGGUAGAGAAUACCAAGGCGCUUGAGAGAACUCGGGUGAAGGAACUAGGCAAAAUGGUGCCGUAACUUCGGGAGAAGGCACGCUGACACGUAGGUGAAGUGAUUUACUCAUGGAGCUGAAGUCAGUCGAAGAUACCAGCUGGCUGCAACUGUUUAUUAAAAACACAGCACUGUGCAAACACGAAAGUGGACGUAUACGGUGUGACGCCUGCCCGGUGCCGGAAGGUUAAUUGAUGGGGUCAGCGCAAGCGAAGCUCCUGAUCGAAGCCCCGGUAAACGGCGGCCGUAACUAUAACGGUCCUAAGGUAGCGAAAUUCCUUGUCGGGUAAGUUCCGACCUGCACGAAUGGCGUAAUGAUGGCCAGGCUGUCUCCACCCGAGACUCAGUGAAAUUGAACUCGCUGUGAAGAUGCAGUGUACCCGCGGCAAGACGGAAAGACCCCGUGAACCUUUACUAUAGCUUGACACUGAACAUUGAGCCUUGAUGUGUAGGAUAGGUGGGAGGCUUUGAAGCGUGGACGCCAGUCUGCGUGGAGCCGACCUUGAAAUACCACCCUUUAAUGUUUGAUGUUCUAACGUGGACCCGUUACCCGGGUUGCGGACAGUGUCUGGUGGGUAGUUUGACUGGGGCGGUCUCCUCCUAAAGAGUAACGGAGGAGCACGAAGGUUGGCUAAUCCUGGUCGGACAUCAGGAGGUUAGUGCAAUGGCAUAAGCCAGCUUGACUGCGAGCGUGACGGCGCGAGCAGGUGCGAAAGCAGGUCAUAGUGAUCCGGUGGUUCUGAAUGGAAGGGCCAUCGCUCAACGGAUAAAAGGUACUCCGGGGAUAACAGGCUGAUACCGCCCAAGAGUUCAUAUCGACGGCGGUGUUUGGCACCUCGAUGUCGGCUCAUCACAUCCUGGGGCUGAAGUAGGUCCCAAGGGUAUGGCUGUUCGCCAUUUAAAGUGGUACGCGAGCUGGGUUUAGAACGUCGUGAGACAGUUCGGUCCCUAUCUGCCGUGGGCGCUGGAGAACUGAGGGGGGCUGCUCCUAGUACGAGAGGACCGGAGUGGACGCAUCACUGGUGUUCGGGUUGUCAUGCCAAUGGCACUGCCCGGUAGCUAAAUGCGGAAGAGAUAAGUGCUGAAAGCAUCUAAGCACGAAACUUGCCCCGAGAUGAGUUCUCCCUGAGACUUAGAGUCUCCUGAAGGAACGUUGAAGACGACGACGUUGAUAGGCCGGGUGUGUAAGCGCAGCGAUGCGUUGAGCUAACCGGUACUAAUGAACCGUGAGGCUUAACCUUACAACGCCGAAG